GUAACACGUCGAUAAUCUGCCCUUAGGUCAGGGAUAGCCUCGGAAAACUGAGGGUAAAACCUGGUAGGGGAAUUCUUCUGGAAUGAUGUUUCCCUGAAAAGUGAUGCCUAAGGAUGGGACGGCGGCCGAUUAGGUAGUUGGCGGGGUAACUGCCCACCAAGCUGAAGAUCGGUAGGGGCCUUGAAAGAGGUCGCCCCGAGAAGGGCACUAAGAUACUGGCCCUAGCCCCACGGGGUGCAGCAGGCGCGAAACCUUUACACUACACGAAAGUGUGAUAAGGGAAUCCUAAGUGCUGAUGCUAUGCAUCGGCUUUUGCCAAGAUCAAGACUCUUGGCGAAUAAGUGGUGGGCAAGACUGGUGCCAGCCGCCGCGGUAACACCAGCGCCACGAGUGGGAGCCGGGUUUAUUGGGCCUAAAGCGUCCGUAGCCGGCCUGGUAAAUCUCCUGUGAAAUUGUCAGGCUUAACCUGCCAGCUUGCAAGAGACACUGCCAGGCUAGGGACCGGGAGGGGUCAGAGGUAUUUUUGGGGGAGCGGUAAAAUGCUAUAAUCCCUUAAGGACCACCUGUGGCGAAGGCGUCUGACCAGAACGGAUCCGACGGUGAGGGACGAAAGCCAGGGGAGCAAUCCGGAUUAGAUACCCGAGUAGUCCUGGCUGUAAACGCUGCGAGCUAGGUGUUGCACAUUCUUAGGGAUUGUGCAGUGUCGUAAUGAAGAUGUUAAGCUCGCCGCCUGGGAAGUACGGUCGCAAGG
RNAcentral lists this ribosomal RNA (751 nucleotides) under uncultured archaeon. Its description in RNAcentral is "bacterial SSU rRNA". It matches the Rfam family "Archaeal small subunit ribosomal RNA", at positions 93 to 848 of the family's 1478-position model. The record is from RNAcentral.